RNAcentral lists this long non-coding RNA (8113 nucleotides) under Sorghum bicolor (sorghum). RNAcentral describes it as "long non-coding RNA (SBIC_LNC010440)". The stretch from base 6039 to 6145 matches the Rfam family "Plant small nucleolar RNA R71". The record is from RNAcentral. Lineage: Eukaryota; Viridiplantae; Streptophyta; Magnoliopsida; Poales; Poaceae.
GUGCAUCCAAAUUGAUUUCCAAGCAUAUGUAUGUUCCAUGCAAACCGUGCACCCAUCUUGCAUCAAGAUUAGCACUAUCUCCAAACAGACCGAACCAAGCUUCCACUUGAGCCUCUUCAUCUAGGAGUACAAACAGGUAUGUCAAAAAUGGUUUCUUAGACUAUGGUGCAUUAGGCACAAACUAUUGUUGGGUAUUCUUAACAUCAUUACCAAAAGUAGACUAAGUUCUCUAAAUCUAGUAACGGUGCCAAAAAUGCCAAACCUAUCCCUCAUACCACUUAAGCCAAGUUGUCAUCCCCAGCAUGAUAUAAGAGACGCGGUAUUGAAAUAUGCAAUUGCUCUUCUAAAUAAAUAAUGAAUGGGAUCUGCAAGCACACAGAUUAAUACCGAUGUAGCCUUUUAACCGGGAAGUAUUCCAGGUAUCGUUAUUUAUAUUUUUACCACUGGGAAGGGAUUCGCAAUCAUCACUAUUGAUUACAUAAUAGAAUAUGAGAUUGAGCAUCUAUCAUUGCAUGUAUAAUUGAGAACAUUAUAUCUAACUCUUCAUACAGGGAUAAGUGUCACAUAAAAUAUAUAUGAAGUAAUAAUAGUGACAAGGAUAAUUAAUCUGAUCUAGCCACAUAAUAAAUAUGAUAAGCACCUCAAUUAGAUACUCUAGAAAGUCAUUAGCAUGGUAUUAGAACGAACUACAAGAAUAUUCCCUAAGUUAUUCUCAACUAUAUAGUCUAGCAUUAUCAUAGUUAGUGCAAGCAUACUUAGCAAUCAUUGCGAGACAAGACUACGCCCAUGCAUAAUGAUAUUAGCAAGGAAUAUGAGAAACAUAGCAAUCACUCCCCUGUAAUAAUGUUGCUCUGCCAGCCCAAUACACGAGAGGGGGACUAUAUAAGAAUCAAUGAAGCUGUCACUAUCAUGAACCAGCCCACGAUCUGGCAUAUUGGGUACAAUCGCAGAUAAAUACGGUAUAAGCACCACGCCUACACAAUAUCUAUCAUUUACCCAUGGAUCCGAUGGAUAAACGCUAUACGAUCCUAAGCAUGUAUAUAGAUCGAAUCUAACUAAGCCAAGUACAUAACUAUGAUAAACUAAGAACAAUAUAAUCUUGAAUAUAAGCAAGUAGAGCAAAGUCAUAAGCAAUAUAUUGAAAUAGAACAAAGUCAUAUUCAUAAUAUUGAAGAACAAAGAUAAUUAGAAAGCUAGAACCACAAUUAGAGAAUUACCAAGAAUCCUCCUGACAGAUCCGGAAACCAAUCGAAGAUUGACUCCUUCUAGUUCUAAUCCUAUGUAGCUAUGCUAAUCUAGAUAUCUAAUUGAUGUGGUGGCUAUAAUCUUGAUCAGAGGCUUCUUCUCCCUUGAUGGAACAAUGAAUUAGGGUUGAGAGGCUCUCUCCUCCAGGGGCCAGGGGGUCUGGUUUUAUAGUCCCUCCAAGUGAAUACGGGCCGUUGGAUCAAACCGACAUAGAUUGUAUGGUUUAGAUUCAUCCUUUAGGUCGGUGGAGAUCUCCCGCGAAGCAGAGUCCUGAUUGGACUCAGGGGCAGGGCGGGCGCCCAGUAGGACAGGGCGGGCGCCCUGUCUCUGGCCCCGUUUCGCCUCCGCUUCGGUCUUGUGGCUUCUGGAGUCUUCUAGAUGUAAGAUAAUUGCGCAGCACGUUAAUAUCUUUACGUAAUCCCGACGUGUCGGCCUUUCUUCCGUAUUUCCUGAUAACCCCCUGCAGAAAUAGACAAACACCAAAACUCGUGGAAUUCUGUCAGAUAAAACCCUAAGUCUAGAUGUUGAUUUCAUUUGGAUCCUUUUCUUUAUUUAUUUGAUAAUUAAAUUUGAUACUUAAGGACCGUCAGCAAACUCCCCCAAGCUUACCUCUUGCUCGUCCCUGAGCAAGGAUAGACUCAGCUAUGGAUCAUAAGUUGUUGCAAUAUUUAAAAAUUGACGGUACACAUGCUUUUUAAAUAAGAUCUCAUCUCUGAGUUAGAGUAAACUGUCAAGACUUAAAACUUACUUACUUUACCUUCACCAUGGGACUUGUAACCAUCACUUCUAUCUUGAGUGGUUAAAAGAUAGAACAGUCUAGCCAAGUGCCAUGUCUCUUAUUCUUGAUCAGCUAUAGCUCUGGAGUUUUUGCAGUUUUUCAAAUAAAACUCAGAGACUCCUUGUAUGAUUCUCUCAGAUCUCUCUUUUGUGGUAUUUUUGGAUCCUUACCAAGGCAGUGAUGGUAUAUGCCUUCUCUCAAGAUAUGUGGUAUUUGUGGUAUAAAGCAUAGUGACAUUGCCUUCUCUCUCACCCUACUCUAAUAAGGCUUUAAUAUCUGGAGCUCAUAGGUGGGAGAUAAAUUAUACAUACUUACAAGACAUUUAUUGCAUAGUCAAACCAUGGAUCCAAAUAAACAAAUCAAUAAGCCAAAUCAAGAUGUGCAUGUGUGGCGAAUGAAUGGUGUAUGGUGAUGAUGGUGAUAACAAUGGUGGGAACAAUGGUGGUGGUCUAAUUCUACUUUGCUCUUUGAGGGGAUACAUACCUUCCUUGCUUUUUGAAACUUUAUGAGGAGAAUGAGAUGCUCUUCUUUUUCUUUUCUCUCAGGUGGGUAUCUGGUACCCCUAAUUCUACUGUCAGACACUUGUCCAUUUUUACCUCUCGUCUCACUUUUUUUUUCUCUCGAGGUUCCGAGCACUUGCUCCUUUUUAUUUCCUCGUAUAUAUAUAUAUAUUUUUAUAUUUUAUUUUCUUUUUAUUUUUUUCAGAGCAUUCAUCUCUUGAGAUAACAUAGCAAGUGGUAGUGACAAGAUAACUUGAGCAUUUAUUUCACAAGGGAAAAACAGGAAUAUUUUUGGUUAUUCUCUCCCGGAUUAGGAGUAGAACAUUUUUAGGUGGUUCUGGAGAUGGAAAUGGAUGGAUAUAUGUGGAUGGUACUUCCGGAGUAGAAGUAGCAUAUAUGAGUGGACGUGCAAGUGAAAUCUUGAUUUAACCACAUGACAAGCUCCUAAGGGUCUACACGGCUUGACCACACUCAAUGCUCAUAAGCAGUAAAUAAUAAAUGUGUGGCUCAAAGUCUAGCAAGCAUGUAUAUAUGGCUGUGGUAGGAAUUUAAACUCUCAUCAUACAGGAACUCAUCAUGCAACAUUUUAAAGAUUUUCAAAGAUAAAAUUCUCCAGAAUUCUAGCAUCUCUAGGAACAGAUAAACAGCAGCUCAACCUUUCCAUAUCAUAUCCGUUAACAACUUAGACUUUAGAUCAAGUUUUCAUCCCACAAGUUUAGGUCUAGAGCAAGCUUUAAAUUAUAACAGUUAUGUCUAAACUUGAGAGAGAACUUAAAAUGUGCAAAUUAGGCAGAGCAACUAUUCAUCAUAUCCAUGCUUAAGUUUUAUUUAGAUACAGAUUAGCAUAGCCACUUUAUUUAUUUAUUAAACACACUAAGCAAAAGACAAAUAUUUAUAUAAGUAGAAAAUCUUUAUUUAUUUUUUCAUAGUUUAUGUAUUUUAAUAUAAGUAUAAAGAUAGAUAGAUAGAAAUACUUAUCGAGAUAAAUGGGGGUGCUCUCCCCCAAGCUGAAUUUUGACGUAAUUUCUUUUGACGUAGCUAGCAGGUGGCAGAGGUGUAUUUGAAAGUCAGCAGCAUUCUGACAGCGAUUAGAAUGUCCUCCGUCUGCUAGUCUUCUUGAUUCUUAAAUUCUGUGGAGCUCAAAUAGACAACAAAGCUUGUGAAACUGAUUAAGUGUUAGCAUAAAUAUCUAGCCUUUAUCAUCUUGAGACUCCUUAAUAAUUAUUACUCCCUAUUUUUAUAUUUUUAUUUUAUAAAGCAGAAAAUAAAUAUUUAUUUUAUUUUAUGCCACCACAGUGAAUAUACUUAUGGGUUUUAUGCCAUUCGUAUACUCACAUGGGGCUUAUAUUUUUAUUUUCUUUUUAGGAUAAUACGAACAUAAUUAACUAAGUAAACUAUUUGAAAUAAUUGAAAGGGAAAGGAUAACUACCAAGUUUACCUCUUAGCAAGGCGUUCGGUGUUUUUAAGUCAUCCGAAUGGGACUCUCCAUUUUCUUAAUCGUCCUGAGGUUCGUUGGGUGGCGUAGUCGGUACUUCCGGCAGCGCCUCCUCUUCUUGUAUAGUUAUCUUCAUUUUCCAUACCUGACUCGGUGCUUCAAUCUCCUCUGGAUAAUUCUGUUUAAACUCUACAUCGUCUGACCUUAUCACUUCUCCUUCGUAGUCUGCCCAUCCGUCCCUGAUGAUCUGCCUCCUCUGGUUGCGGUUGCGUCUUUUCCUUACCUGCUUAGAUUCUUCAAUGAUAUAGUUAGGGUCAGUAAAAUAACGGCGUACCUUCUCUGAGGGGAAGUGCAUAUGGACUUCUCCGGUUUCAAUGUAGAUAAUUGCUUUAACAGUGCUGAGGAACGGUCUUCCAAGGAUGAUGGGUGGAUCAUACUCGUCUUCUCCCAUGUCAACAACUUGAAAGUCUGUGUAGACAAAGUGAUCGUCUAUUUUGACUGGGACAUCAGUUACUGUUCCUUUAACUUCUCAAAAUGUCUGAUCUGCCAUCUGGAGCUGAAUGUAUGUUGGUCUUAGUGGCAUGGUUCCGAACAAGAGCCGAUAGGUGCCUGUGGCCAUUAUGUUGACGCCCGAUCCGGUGUCGCAAAUCGUCUUGUAGAAGUUGUAUCCAUUUAUGGAGCAGUAGAUGCUUGGCAUUCCUGGGUCGUCCUUCUUGGUUAAAAACGGUGACUUAAGUUGAUGAUCUUGGCCUCCAUGAACUACAGUGACCAUCUUAGCUGACUCGGUCCACACUUGCUUGUUCCUGUUCCUCCUGUUGGUCCUCUUCCUUGAUUUAUGUCUGGAUUGAUCUGGAAUUUGUGUAGUCUUGUUCUUGAAGAAAAAUGUCUCCUUCUUCCCUUUGACGUAGAAACUGAUCUUGGCAGCACUAGCGUAGAUGAUAGCUCCCGUGGUGUUCAAGAAUGGCCUCCCUAAGAUGAUGGGUGCCCUCUCAUCAUUUCUGGUCUCUACUACUACGAAGUCUGCUGGGGCAUAUAAGGUACCAACUCGAACACAAAGGUUCUUCACUAUUCCUUUUGGAAAACUUAUCGCCUGAUCUACAAACUGCAAACACAUGGUUGUUUCUAAUAAAGGAUAUGUAAAGAAUUUUUCAUAGAGUACCCUGGGUACAAUGUUGACGCUAGAGCCAAAGUCGCAGAGUGCUUCUGGGACGUCCACCAUGCCGAUGGAGAUCGGGAUGACGGGGCGUCCUGGAUCGCCUCUCUUGACCGGCAGAAGGUCAGUAGAGAAUUCAUUGACGGGGUUACUCCAAUUACCUGCAUCAAACAUGUCUACAAGAUUUGCAGAUUCUAAUCCUUCCGGUUGUGAUGGUAUACCGGGGUUAGUAGCAGGAACAGCAGCAGCUAUUUGAUUUAACUAAGAUUCAAUCAUUUUAUUAAAGCUAAUUUGAUUCUUGAUGGCAGUAGAGAAAUUAUCCAUUCUAUUAUUUAUAUUUUCUAGCAUUUUAUCAUUAGAUGCCAAUUUCUUAGAUAGGUUAUCCAUUAGCUUUCCUUGAUUAGACACUAACUCUCUGAGAGGUGGAAAAUUAUUAUUACUGUUGUAAGAAUUGUUACCUUGAUAAUUACCUGAGUAGUUAGGCCUCUGUUGAUUCCAACCUUGAUUUUGUUGAGGACGGUUGUUGUAGUAGUAGUAGUUGUUGUUGAUGUAGUUCACAUCCUCAAGAUCUCAGGGCAGUGAUUGCCUGAGUGUCCAGUGUCUCCACACUCCUCACAAGUCAUGUGAGAGUCGUAGAUGUGCAUAACUUCCUUCUUAUCUCCAGCUCUAUUGUCGAGCUUCUUCAUGAGCAGGUCUAGCUUUGCAGACAGUAUGUCUACCUCCUUCAGCUGAUGCAUACCUCCACCUCUCUUGCGUGUCUGGGUCCUCUCUUCAUUCCAGCUUUGAUUGGACGCCAUCUUCUCCACAAGAGCUGUGGCUUGUGGUAUAGUAAGUGAUAAGAAUGCUCCUCCAGCUGCGGCAUCCAUGGUUUCUCGGGCACUGUUGCCGAGCCCAUGAUAAAAUGUCUGCAUUAGUAGCCAACUCUCCAUUCCAUGAUGGGGACAUUCUAGGAUGUAGUCUUGAAAGCGCUCCCAUGCUUCUGGAACAGAUUCAUCAUUUUGUUGCUGAAAACUUGUAAUCUUCCCACGGAGAGCAUUGGUCUUGCCCAUGGGAAAGAACUUUGCCAGGAAGUUUGUUGAGCAGAGUGCCACGUAGUAUUCUUCUCCUUUGUAGCGUAGAACCACUGCUUCGCUCUUCCUAAUAGUGAGAAUGGGAAGAGGCGAAGUAGUAUAGCAUCUUUGGAAACUCCUGAUAUGGUGAAUGUGUUGCAAAUCUCCAGGAAGUGUUGUAAAUGAGCACUAGCAUCUUCGUGUGCCUUCCGACAGAACUGGUUGGAUUGCACCAUGUUGAUAAGUCCAGGCUUGAGCUCAAAGUUGCCGUCGAUCUCUGCAGCAGGUCCAGUGCGGAUGUUGUCUGUAGUGGGAGCUGAGAACUCGCGGAUUGAUUUGUUCGCCAUGGCUUCGAACUCUGAAGACAAGUUCCGGUGAUCUUCUUGAUUGGAUGAAGCUUCUUGCUGAAGUGUUGAUGAUUUCUUUAGCUUGGCUCUCGUCUUCUUGAAUAAUGCUUCAGGAUUGUCAACAAAAUUUCUAGGAAGAUGUCUUCUAUUCAUACAUUCCUCUGCAUAAGAUAAAAUAGAAAAAUAUCGGGGUAAAACUGUAUGAGAGAAUAGAUAAGCUCAAUCAUAUUAGUGAUGCGAAUGAUAACUCAAAAUCUUUUAUUCCAUUCCUGAUUAGUAAUCAACCUUCCCCGGCAACGGCACCAAAAAUGCUUGUUGGGUAUUCUUAACAUCAUUACCAAAUGUAGACUAAGUUCUCUAAAUCUAGUAACGGUGCCAAAAAUGCCAAACCUAUCCCUCAUACCACUUAAGCCAAGUUGUCAUCCCCAGCAUGAUAUAAGAGACGCGGUAUUGAAAUAUACAAUUGCUCUUCUAAAUAAAUAAUGAAUGGGAUCUGCAAGCGCACAGAUUAAUACCGAUGCAGCAUUUUAACCGGGAAGUAUUCCAGGUAUCGUUAUUUAUAUUUUUACCACUGGGAAGGGAUUAGCAAUCAUCACUAUUGAUUAUAGAAUAGAAUAUGAGAUUGAGCAUCUAUCAUUGCAUGUAUAAUUGAGAACAUUAUAUCUAACUCUUCAUACAGGGAUAAGUGUCACAUAAAAGAUAUAUAAAGUAAUAAUAGUGACAAGGAUAAUUAAUCUGAUCUAGCCACAUAAUAAAUAUGAUAAGCACCUCAAUUAGAUACUCUAGAAAGUCAUUAGCAUGGUAUUAGAACGAACUACAAGAAUAUUCCCUAAGUUAUUCUCAACUAUAUAGUCUAGCAUUAUCAUAGUUAGUGCAAGCAUACUUAGCAAUCAUUGCGAGACAUGACUACGCCCAUGCAUAGUGAUAUUAGCAAGGAAUAUGAGAAACAUAGCAAUCACUCCCCUGUAAUAAUGUUGCUCUGCCAGCCCAAUACACGAGAGGGGGACUAUAUAAGAAUCAAUGAAGCUGUCACUAUCACGAACCACCCCACGAUCUGGCAUAUUGGGUACAAUCGCAGAUAAAUACAGUAUAAGCACCACGCCUACACAAUAUCUAUCAUUUACCCAUGGAUCCGAUGGAUAAACGCUAUACGAUCCUAAGCAUGUAUAUAGAUCGAAUCUAACUAAGCCAAGUACAUAACUAUGAUAAACUAAGAACAAUAUAAUCUUGAAUAUAAGCAAGUAGAGCAAAGUCAUAAGCAAUAUAUUGAAAUAGAACAAAGUCAUAUUCAUAAUAUUGAAGAACAAAGAUAAUUAGAAAGCAAUUAGAAGCACAAUUAGAGAAUUACCAAGAAUCCUCCUGACAGAUCCGGAAACCAAUCGAAGAUUGACUCCUUCUAGUUCUAAUCCUAUGUAUCUAUGCUAAUCUAGAUAUCUAAUUGAUGUGGUGGCUCUAAUCUUGAUCAAAGGCUUCUUCUCCCUUGAUGGAACAAUGAAUUAAGGUUGAGAGGCUCUCUCCUCCAGGGGCCAGGGGGUCUGGUUUUAUAGUCCCUCCAAGUGAAUACGGGCCGUUGGAUCAAACCGACAUAGAUUGUAUGGUUUAGAUU